Molecule: ribosomal RNA, 439 nt
Filed under: uncultured bacterium
Lineage: Bacteria
Description: partial 16S ribosomal RNA
Rfam family: Bacterial small subunit ribosomal RNA
Source: RNAcentral
CCUACGGGAGACAGCAGUGGGGAAUAUUGCACAAUGGGCGAAAGCCUGAUGCAGCAACGCCGCGUGAGCGAUGAAGGCCUUAGGGUCGUAAAGCUCUGUCCUCAAGGAAGAUAAUGACGGUACUUGAGGAGGUAGCCCCGGCUAACUACGUGCCAGCAGCCGCGGUAAUACGUAGGGGGCUAGCGUUAUACGGAUUUACUGGGCGUAAAGGGUGCGUAGGUGGUUUCUUAAGUCAGAGGUGAAAGGCUAGGGCUCAACCGUAGUAAGCCUUUGAAACUGGGAAACUUGAGUGCAGGAGAGGAGAGUGGAAUGCGUAGUGUAGCGGUGAAAUGCGUAGAUAGCAGGAAGAACACCAGUUGCGAAGGCGGCUCUCUGGACUGUAACUGACACUGAGGCACGAAGGCGUGGGGAGCAAACAGGAUUAGAUACCCCAGUAGUC